RNAcentral lists this ribosomal RNA (466 nucleotides) under uncultured bacterium. Its description in RNAcentral is "bacterial SSU rRNA". It matches the Rfam family "Bacterial small subunit ribosomal RNA", at positions 338 to 795 of the family's 1533-position model. The record is from RNAcentral.
CCUACGGGGGGCAGCAGUGGGGAAUAUUGGACAAUGGGCGAAAGCCUGAUCCAGCCAUGCCGCGUGUGUGAAGAAGGCCUUUUGGUUGUAAAGCACUUUAAGCGGGGAGGAGGGCACCACGGUUAAUACCCGUGAAUGUCGGACGUUACCCGCAGAAUAAGCACCGGCUAACUCUGUGCCAGCAGCCGCGGUAAUACAGAGGGUGCGAGCGUUAAUCGGAAUUACUGGGCGUAAAGCGCGCGUAGGCGGCUUGUUAAGUCAAAUGUGAAAUCCCCGAGCUUAACUUGGGCAUUGCAUUCGAUACUGGCAAGCUAGAGUAUGGGAGAGGAAGGUAGAAUUCCAGGUGUAGCGGUGAAAUGCGUAGAGAUCUGGAGGAAUACCGAUGGCGAAGGCAGCCUUCUGGCCUAAUACUGACGCUGAGGUGCGAAAGCAUGGGGAGCAAACAGGAUUAGAUACCCGGGUAGUC